Molecule: ribosomal RNA, 433 nt
Filed under: uncultured bacterium
Lineage: Bacteria
Description: partial 16S ribosomal RNA
Rfam family: Bacterial small subunit ribosomal RNA
Source: RNAcentral
AACGAACGCUGGCGGCAUGCCUAACACAUGCCAGUCGAACGAGACCUUCGGGUCUAGUGGCGCACGGGUGCGUAACGCGUGGGAACCUGCCCUUAGGUUCGGAAUAACUCCCCGAAAGGGGUGCUAAUACCGGUUAAUGUCUUCUGACCAAAGAUUUAUCGCCUUUGGAUGGGCCCGCGUUGGAUUAGCUAGUUGGUAGGGUAAAAGCCUACCAAGGCGAGGAUCCAUAGCUGGUCUGAGAGGAUGAUAAGCCACACUGGGACUGAGACACGGCCCAGAAUACUACGGGAGGGAGCAGUGGGGAAUAGUGGAAAAUGGGCGAAAGCAUGAUCAAGCAAUGACGCGUGAGUGAUGAAGGCAUUAGGGUUGUAAAGCUAUUUUACCCGGGAUGAUAAUGACAGUACCGGGAGAAUAAGCACCGGCUAACUCCGUG